Molecule: ribosomal RNA, 1011 nt
Filed under: Mycalesis mineus (dark-brand bushbrown)
Lineage: Eukaryota; Metazoa; Arthropoda; Insecta; Lepidoptera; Nymphalidae
Description: 16S ribosomal RNA
Source: RNAcentral
CUCGAAUUUAAAAGAGUUAAUUAAUUAAAAAAUUUAAUGUGGUAUAAUUAUUUUUAAUAAUUAAUUAGAAAUGAAAUGUUAAUCGUUUUUAAAUAUAUCUAGUUUUUUUAGAAAAAAAUUUAAUUUUAAAUUAAAAUAAUUUUAUUUUUUAAUAAAAAAAAAUUAAAAAUUUUAAAUUUAAUAUUUUAAGGGAUAAGCUUUAAAUUAAAAAGUUAUAAUAAAAUUAUUUUAAUUUAAAAUUUUUAAAAUUUAUAUUGUUUAAAAAUUAUAAUUUAUUAUAAAAAAUUUUAUUAAAGUUAAAAUUUAAUAUUAAAAAAUUUAAUUUUUUAUAAAAUAAUAAUUUUCAAUAAUAAAAAAUUAGAAAUUAUGAUAAAAUUAGUAUAAAUUAUAUAUAUAUAUAUAUAUAUAUAUAAUAUAAAAAUUAAUAUUAAAAUUAAUUAAAAGGAAUUCGGCAAAUUGUAAUAUUCACUUGUUUAUCAAAAACAUGUCUUUUUGAUAAUAAUUUAAAGUCUAAUCUGCCCACUGAUUUAUUAAAGGGCUGCAGUAUAUUAACUGUACAAAGGUAGCAUAAUCAUUAGUUUUUUAAUUGGAAACUUGUAUGAAAGAUUUGAUGAAAUAUUAACUGUCUCUUAAUUAUUAAUAAAACUUUAUUUUUUAGUUAAAAAGCUAAAAUAAAUUUAAAAGACGAGAAGACCCUAUAGAGUUUUAUAUUUGAAUUUUUAUUUUAAAUAUAUAUAUAAAUUAAUAUUAAUAAAAUUAAAUAUUAUAUUGGGGUGAUAGAAAAAUUUAAUUAACUUUUUUUAAAUAAUAAACAUAAAUAAGUGAAUAAAUGAUCCAUUUAUAAUGAUUACAAGAAAAAAUUACCUUAGGGAUAACAGCGUAAUAUUUUUUUUUAGUACAUAUAAGAAAAAAAGAUUGCGACCUCGAUGUUGGAUUAAGAUAAAAUUUAAAUGCAAAAGUUUAAAAUUUUGAUCUGUUCGAUCAUUAAAAUCUUACAUGAUCUGAGUUCAA